Molecule: ribosomal RNA, 253 nt
Filed under: uncultured bacterium
Lineage: Bacteria
Description: partial 16S ribosomal RNA
Rfam family: Bacterial small subunit ribosomal RNA
Source: RNAcentral
UACGUAGGCAGCGAGCGUUGUUCGGAGUUACUGGGCGUAAAGAGUGCGUAGGCGGUUUUCUAAGUUUGGUGUGAAAUCUCCCGGCUUAACUGGGAGGGUGCGCCGAAGACUGGAAGGCUUGAGUAUGGGAGAGGUAAGCGGAAUUCCUGGUGUAGCGGUGAAAUGCGUAGAUAUCAGGAGGAACACCGAUGGCGAAGGCAAUCCCCUGGACCUGUACCGACGCUCAUGCACGAAAGCGUGGGGAGCAAACAGG